Molecule: ribosomal RNA, 253 nt
Filed under: uncultured bacterium
Lineage: Bacteria
Description: partial 16S ribosomal RNA
Rfam family: Bacterial small subunit ribosomal RNA
Source: RNAcentral
UACGUAGGGGGCAAGCGUUGUCCGGAUUCAUUGGGCGUAAAGAGCUCGUAGGUGGUUUGUCGCGUUGUUCGUGAAAACUCACAGCUCAACUGUGGGCGUGCGGGCGAUACGGGCAGACUGGAGUACUGCAGGGGAGACUGGAAUUCCUGGUGUAGCGGUGGAAUGCGCAGAUAUCAGGAGGAACACCGGUGGCGAAGGCGGGUCUCUGGGCAGUAACUGACGCUGAGGAGCGAAAGCGUGGGGAGCGAACAGG